AUGAAACGGCGACCGGCGUGUCGCACUGGAGGCCUCAUAAGCCACGACCUGCUCAUGGUGAAUGGUGAUCACGAGAGCACGGAGCUUGUGCUCUGUGAGCCAAUCGCUGCUGCCUGCGCGAGCAAGCCAUGGCGCCAAGCUCAACUGCUAAACCGUCGGCACUCCCGUCCGGCAGUCACCUCUCUCGCGCCGAGCUCCACCAAUCCGUUCGCCGCUCGCACGUCUUCCUGCGGAAGCAGAGCCAUCGCCGUCGCCUGGCCGGCGUCGUCCGGGCCGCGCCGGAAGCGCCGUCGGUGGUCAGGGCGGCCGUCGGCGCCAUCACCGAGCUCCUCAGGGCACUGUCCCCAAACAAGAAGCCCAGGCAAGGCUCCACAGACCACAAAUCUACUCAUGAUUCGAUCCUCUCCUCGCUUUGGAUUCCAUGGCGUGGGCAUAGCUAUGAGCGGUUUUCUUGCUCGACGGUUCAGGGGCGAUGCUGGCGGAGCAGAGCCUGGUCCGCCUCUCGGCGGCGUCGAGGAUGUGGUCGCCGUGCUCGAAGACGAUUACCGGCGGGCAUACUUCCUCACUGGAUUGCAGGGGAUUUCACUCCGAGCAUAUACGCGGAAAAUUGCUUGUUUGAGGAUCCGACGAUAAAGUUCCGCGGACGGUCUAGGUACUCUCAGAAUCUGGAUUUGCUAGUGCCGUUCUUCGACAGUCCUUCGCUUGAGCUGGAAAACAUUGAAAAGGGUUCAAGGGUUGAAACAAAGUUCGUCAAAGCAACAUGGAAACUAAGGACAUACUUAAGGCUUCCAUGGAGGCCCCUGAUUGCGAUUAGAGGCAACACAACAUACGAUCUGAACAAAGACUACAAGGUGAUUCGGCACUCUGAGAGCUGGGAUGUCUCCGCGCUUGAGGCCAUCGGUCAGAUAUUCGUAUCCGCUCCGGAGCAGCAGAAAGGCAGCUGAUCGAUGCUGAUGCAUGCAGUACUGUGCAUAAGUAAUUUUUAUGUGAAGUGUACAAGUAACAUGGACUUGCGUCAUUUGUUAAGUGAGAUAUCCAUGUAAGGCUGAUGCGAGGAUGAACAACAUUUGGGCUGCAAAUUAAGAACUCAGUAAUGUUCAAAUCGAUCAUGGAUCGGCAAUGUUCAAAACUGAUAGCCAAACUCUGAAAGCUCCAUUUCAGAAAAUUGGCAAUAUUCACAUCAUCUGCCCCCUCCUUUUUGACCGGAGACAGCAACGAACUAAAACGAGUAAGGGAGUCGGAUAAGAGAUCCAAAAGAAACCAGAACUAUCUCUGGAAGUCGAGCACACAAGGCCGCGAAGCUUCUCGAAGAUGCUCUCAACCUGUCAACGUGGUUCGUGAACAUGCGCCGGAAUCUGCUCGCCCGCCUCCACUGGAACGUCGUCGCCUCCCGCCUCGGCAAAAAUGGUCCGUACCAUCCACCUCACGCUCGGAGGCUCGGAUCCUAGGGUUAGGGUCAAUCGGCCGCGGCUAUGGCUCGGCGGAGGGCUCCGGUAUGAUGAUUUGUACGACGGUACGACCCGUACCACGACUUGGACAUCAAGGAGGCGCUGGCGCGGUGUCAGCAACGCUACUGGAGCUGAACGCCCAAGGAGCAGCGCGGAAGCGAGCUAGUUCAAAUUUGUUGGUUGGCUUCGUUCGUUUGCUAAGUUGGCGUGGUUGGGUGUCCAGCUGUCGCGAGUGGUCCCUCUGGGCAGUGGUAGCCGUGGGUAUAUAAACGGCUUGUAACAGAAUUCUAAGGACAGCGAUGAAAAAUAUUCAGAACUCA
Phragmites australis (common reed) is the source of this 1768-nucleotide RNA transcript. RefSeq lists it as uncharacterized. The transcript is spliced from 9 exons. NCBI's taxonomy places the organism in Eukaryota, Viridiplantae, Streptophyta, Magnoliopsida, Poales, Poaceae. The record is from RefSeq and is a predicted model, not a curated record.